Ictalurus punctatus (channel catfish) is the source of this 2079-nucleotide long non-coding RNA. The record is from Ensembl. NCBI's taxonomy places the organism in Eukaryota, Metazoa, Chordata, Actinopteri, Siluriformes, Ictaluridae.
AAGAACUACAUUUCCCAUCUGCCCCGGCUGUCACGGGCUAAUAGCACCAGCUGCUUUCCAUUACCCUAAUGAGGGAUUCUACUGCUGCAACGAGACCAAAUACAACGAAAUUAUCGAUGCUGCAAAAGAAGACGGAUCUUUUGGUAGGCUGGUUAACGAUGACCACAAGCACCCAAAUGGCAGAAUACAGAAGACUGAAGUGGAUGGAAGCCCACAUCUUGGUCUGUUUGCUUUAACAGACUUUAAAGAAGGAGAUGACAUUACCUACAAUUACAGAGGAACGGACUGGUCUUGGCGUAGCAAGCAGAUUAUGGAGGAGGGCACUGCUGAGAGCAAUGGCCAGGAGAAACGGCAGCCAUCACAGUCUACACCUUUUCUGGAUCAGAACACUGCUAGCGGUCCAUCAGCGACUGAACAGUUCUUUUUGCAGAGGAGAUGGAGCUAAUCAGCGAUGAAAUAAUGAGUGAGGAAGGUGAGACGUGAAGAACUUGAAGGUAAAACAUCUACUCUGUAAAAGAGGAAGGCUUGAGAAGUAAAUGAGGUCCAUGCAGUGGAGAGACGUAUGAAGACCUUCAUCAUGUCAUGUCGUGUCCCAGGGGAGCUGGCCUUUGAAAACUGCAUUAGAUCUGAGCCUUUAGCUCUGAAAGAUAGAGACUGGCAAAGUGUCAAAUUCUGUCUACAACCGCAUUGUGGCUUACAAAAGAGAUAUAAACAAAGAUUAAAUAACACUUUACAUCUAUAGUAAUGCUUUAAUAAGUUACAUCAUAUCUCUAGCUUUUUACUUUGUAAUAAACCAGUCAGCAUUUAAUUCAUAAUAAACUAACCAGGAACAAAUCGGUAUUAUUUAAAAUAUCCAUUAGAAUCUUUACCUACACCUUUUCCAUUGAAUGUGAUUGAAUUGGUUUGGGCCGCCUUCUUCCAGUGGGUCCUUAUGCAGUUGGCUGACAGGUUCAUGAGUAAGCCUGUUGGGCAGUGUGCUACCCAUUUACAUGUUUAGACUAAAUUAGCUACCUCAACAUACAUUAUUAAGUUGUUACUGCCACUUUUUAGCCUAGCCAGUCAAGUGGAUAAUACAGAAUAAAGGGGGGAAAUUGUGCUUUCGACAUUUGGGGUUCUGUCUUUGCAUCACUGUGUUUGGCUAGCAUCUUUAUUUUCCUCAGUAUGUUUCAUUUUGAGGUGGCUGUGUGUAGUAAGCAGGAGUGUCGAACUUCAUCAUUGAAAGUAUUAUUGAGGCUUAUAAUACUUUAAUGCAAUUUGUUUUUAAGUGGUAAAUUAUACAGUAAAAGCUAGUCACGAUUGCUUGAUUAUAGAAUGCUCAGUGUUCAUUGUUACUGGGCGUAUUUAUUUACUUUUGGAUGUAGGUGUAAGUUUUAGUUUGUACUUUCACCUAACACGUGCAAUAAGAAGUGUGCUUAACAGGUUUGUAGUACUCUGAAUGAGUUCAAGUUCAUUCAUGUCACAUGUGAGAUUAGUAGUUGUGCACUUUAAUGGGCAAAUAUUUGUUGACUUUUACAGUAAAGAAGCUCAAGACUCGAGUUGUUUUCAUGAUGUUGAAUAGACAAGGUUUAUUUAAUCUGAGAGAUGUUCACUUUAAUAAAGAGUUCCAGACCAGUAAACAAAUCCUUCAUGCAGCUAAAAUAUCAAAAGGAUGUGUUUGUGUCAUUUAGACUAAUUCUGACUGGGAAUAAUGUUAAUUUGUGUUGCAUGCCUGUGAUAAAUAAGUGAGGUUCAGUACAGCAAGCGGCUCUACUUUCUUUUACACAAAAUAAUGUUUACUUUGGAGCAGGAAAUGAAAAGCUUCUUAGAAUGAUAGCCUCAAACCUAAUAAUAGCCCUGGUACCUCCUUCCUUAACAGGUUCCUCGGUUUCUCAAAGGGUUCCUCUGUUGGAAAUUGAAAGCUCCAGAAGAAAUUUAGUCUGUUAUCUAUUAUGUGCAGAUAUUGCAAUUUCUGUAAGAGCUUUUUUGAUAGCCUUAUUUGUGAAAUAUGCAAUCAGUGAAAGUUUAGUUAAGAGUCCUUGGUAUAAACAAUUAAGAACAAUUCUUCAAUAUCAUUUCAUGAGAAGCUUAAACCUUCAAAUA